UACGUAGGGGGCAAGCGUUGUCCGGAUUCAUUGGGCGUAAAGCGCGUGUAGGCGGCCAGGUAGGUCUGGUGUGAAAACUCGAGGCUCAACCUCGAGAGGUCAUCGGAAACCAUCUGGCUAGAGUCCGGAAGAGGAGAGUGGAAUUCCCGGUGUAGCGGUGAAAUGCGCAGAUAUCGGGAAGAACACCUAUGGCGAAGGCAGCUCGCUGGGACGUUACUGACGCUGAGACGCGAAAGCGUGGGGAGCAAACAGG
This 253-nucleotide ribosomal RNA is filed under the name uncultured bacterium. RNAcentral's name for it is "partial 16S ribosomal RNA". It matches the Rfam family "Bacterial small subunit ribosomal RNA", at positions 524 to 776 of the family's 1533-position model. The record is from RNAcentral.